This is a long non-coding RNA of Lepidothrix coronata (blue-crowned manakin), 527 nucleotides long. RefSeq lists it as uncharacterized. The transcript is spliced from 3 exons. The record is from RefSeq and is a predicted model, not a curated record. Lineage: Eukaryota; Metazoa; Chordata; Aves; Passeriformes; Pipridae.
GUCCCCUUCCACAGGCACUGGCCUGGUGGCUUCACAAAAAGCCAUAAUUAUCAGCCUUGCAGUUCCAAAUGGUUGUUCCUCCUGCACACCAGCUAUUUUGGCCCUCCUGAACUUGUUUGGGAGUUACUUAGAGCCAGUUGCUCUAUCUUGUUACGCUGUGGGAAGCUGAGAGACAGAGUUUCUUCAAGCUCUGAGCUGGAUAAGUCACUAAGGUGACUUUCAAUUGCAGCCUGGGAAAAAUCAACCACACCAAGUACAGUGCACAGACUCUACAGCAAAAGAGGAGCAAGCUGCUGUGCAUGGGCAGACAGCAAGAGGCCUCAUGUUGGCUGUGAUUCAACCAGUCUCUGUGCUCUCUGAAGAGGCAAAACACCUCUCUGGAAUGGCAUGGUUGUGGUAGGAUUGAGGGCAGGGCCGUGAUCCCUUGACCACGUCUCCCUCCAGCCUUACUUGCUUGUGGACAUGGAAUGGUGACGAAUGCAGGGGAUGCUCCCUGUCCCCCCGUGGAGAUCAGAUUAACACAAAUG